GAUGAACGCUUGCGGCGUGCCUAAUACAUGCAAGUCGAGCGAACGGACGAGAAGCUUGCUUUUCUGAUGUUAGCGGCGGACGGGUGAGUAACACGUGGAUAACCUACCUAUAAGACUGGGAUAACUUCGGGAAACCGGAGCUAAUACCGGAUAAUAUUUUGAACCGCAUGGUUCAAAAGUGAAAGACGGUCUUGCUGUCACUUAUAGAUGGAUCCGCGCUGCAUUAGCUAGUUGGUAAGGUAACGGCUUACCAAGGCAACGAUGCAUAGCCGACCUGAGAGGGUGAUCGGCCACACUGGAACUGAGACACGGUCCAGACUCCUACGGGAGGCAGCAGUAGGGAAUCUUCCGCAAUGGGCGAAAGCCUGACGGAGCAACGCCGCGUGAGUGAUGAAGGUCUUCGGAUCGUAAAACUCUGUUAUUAGGGAAGAACAUAUGUGUAAGUAACUGUGCACAUCUUGACGGUACCUAAUCAGAAAGCCACGGCUAACUACGUG
RNAcentral lists this ribosomal RNA (497 nucleotides) under uncultured bacterium. RNAcentral's name for it is "partial 16S ribosomal RNA". It matches the Rfam family "Bacterial small subunit ribosomal RNA", at positions 28 to 507 of the family's 1533-position model. The record is from RNAcentral.